This 301-nucleotide ribosomal RNA is filed under the name uncultured bacterium. Its description in RNAcentral is "partial 16S ribosomal RNA". It matches the Rfam family "Bacterial small subunit ribosomal RNA", at positions 509 to 807 of the family's 1533-position model. The record is from RNAcentral.
CAGCCGCCACGGGAAUACGAAGGGUGCAAGCGUUAAUCGGAAUUACUGGGCGUAAAGCGUGCGUAGGCGGUGAGUUAAGUCUGCUGUGAAAUCCCCGGGCUCAACCUGGGAAUGGCAGUGGAUACUGGCUCGCUAGAGUGUGUCAGAGGAUGGUGGAAUUCCCGGUGUAGCGGUGAAAUGCGUAGAGAUCGGGAGGAACAUCAGUGGCGAAGGCGGCCAUCUGGGACAACACUGACGCUGAGGCACGAAAGCGUGGGGAGCAAACAGGAUUAGAUACCCCCGUAGUCCCUGUCUCUUAUAC